Molecule: long non-coding RNA, 301 nt
Filed under: Mus spicilegus (steppe mouse)
Lineage: Eukaryota; Metazoa; Chordata; Mammalia; Rodentia; Muridae
Description: lncRNA (ENSMSIG00000030848.1)
Source: RNAcentral
GUCAUUUUGAAAGUCUAUUCUACUCAGGAAGAAUGAAGACCAAGGCUUCUGAAAAAUACGGAUUCUGGGACUCAUCCCAAGCAAAUCUACCCAGAAUAUGUGGCUGGAACAUGUUGGUGAACUUGCAGAACUGUCCAUGCAAUUCUAGUCUUCAGUCACCAUGAAGAGCACUGGUCCAGAGGGUCCUCUUAACGUCUUGCUCAUAUUGGACAGUGACAUCAUCAGUCUUCACGUCUCCAAGUUUCCACAAGUUGACACUUUCCUCCAUAUUCUGUAUCCCAUCAGUUCCAAAGCUGUCUAA